This 473-nucleotide ribosomal RNA is filed under the name uncultured bacterium. Its description in RNAcentral is "bacterial SSU rRNA". It matches the Rfam family "Bacterial small subunit ribosomal RNA", at positions 30 to 507 of the family's 1533-position model. The record is from RNAcentral.
AUUGAACGCUGGCGGCAUGCUUUACACAUGCAAGUCGAACGGUAACAGGUUAAGCUGACGAGUGGCGAACGGGUGAGUAAUGCAUCGGAACGUGCCCAGUCGUGGGGGAUAACGCAGCGAAAGCUGUGCUAAUACCGCAUACGAUCUAUGGAUGAAAGCGGGGGACCGUAAGGCCUCGCGCGAUUGGAGCGGCCGAUGUCAGAUUAGCUAGUUGUGGGUAAAGGCCCACCAAGGCGACGAUCUGUAGCUGGUCUGAGAGGACGACCAGCCACACUGGAACUGAGACACGGUCCAGACUCCUACGGGAGGCAGCAGUGGGGAAUUUUGGACAAUGGGCGCAAGCCUGAUCCAGCAAUGCCGCGUGCAGGAGAAGGCCUUCGGGUUGUAAACUGCUUUGUACGGAACGAAACGGUCUGGGCUAAUACCCGGGCUAACUGACGGUACCGUAAGAAUAAGCACCGGCUAACUACGUG